GACGAACGCUCGUUGAGUGCUUACACAUGCAAGUCGAACGGAAAGGCCCUGCCCUUGUGGGGUGCUCGAGUGGCGAACGAGUGAGUAACACGUGAGUAACCUGCCCUUGACUUUGGGAUAACUUCAGGAAACUGGGGCUAAUACCGGAUAGGAGCUCCUGCUGCAUGGUGGGGGUUGGAAAGUUUCGGCGGUUGGGGAUGGACUCGCGGCUUAUCAGCUUGUUGGUGGGGUAGUGGCUUACCAAGGCUUUGACGGGUAGCCGGCCUGAGAGGGUGACCGGCCACAUUGGGACUGAGAUACGGCCCAGACUCCUACGGGAGGCAGCAGUGGGGAAUAUUGCACAAUGGGCGGAAGCCUGAUGCAGCAACGCCGCGUGCGGGAUGACGGCCUUCGGGUUGUAAACCGCUUUCGCCUGUGACGAAGCGUGAGUGACGGUAAUGGGUAAAGAAGCACCGGCUAACUACGUGCCAGCAGCCGCGGUGAUACGUAGGGUGCGAGCGUUGUCCGGAUUUAUUGGGCGUAAAGGGCUCGUAGGUGGUUGAUCGCGUCGGAAGUGUAAUCUUGGGGCUUAACCCUGAGCGUGCUUUCGAUACGGGUUGACUUGAGGAAGGUAGGGGAGAAUGGAAUUCCUGGUGGAGCGGUGGAAUGCGCAGAUAUCAGGAGGAACACCAGUGGCGAAGGCGGUUCUCUGGGCCUUUCCUGACGCUGAGGAGCGAAAGCGUGGGGAGCGAACAGGCUUAGAUACCCUGGUAGUCCACGCUGUAAACGGUGGGUACUAGGUGUGGGGUCCAUUCCACGGGUUCCGUGCCGUAGCUAACGCUUUAAGUACCCCGCCUGGGGAGUACGGCCGCAAGGCUAAAACUCAAAGGAAUUGACGGGGCCCCGCACAAGCGGCGGAGCAUGCGGAUUAAUUCGAUGCAACGCGUAGAACCUUACCUGGGUUUGACAUGGAUCGGGAGUGCUCAGAGAUGGGUGUGCCUCUUUUGGGGUCGGUUCACAGGUGGUGCAUGCCUGUCGUCAGCUCGUGUCGUGAGAUGUUGGGUUAAGUCCCGCAACGAGCGCAACCCUUGUUCACUGUUGCCAGCACGUUAUGGUGGGGACUCAGUGGAGACCGCCGGGGUCAACUCGGAGGAAGGUGGGGAUGACGUCAAGUCAUCAUGCCCCUUAUGUCCAGGGCUUCACGCAUGCUACAAUGGCUGGUACAGAGAGUGGCGAGCCUGUGAGGGUGAGCGAAUCUCGGAAAGCCGGUCUCAGUUCGGAUUGGGGUCUGCAACUCGACCUCAUGAAGUCGGAGUCGAUAGUAAUCGCAGAUCAGCAACGCUGCGGUGAAUACGUUCCCGAGGCG
RNAcentral lists this ribosomal RNA (1345 nucleotides) under uncultured bacterium. RNAcentral describes it as "partial 16S ribosomal RNA". It matches the Rfam family "Bacterial small subunit ribosomal RNA", at positions 28 to 1381 of the family's 1533-position model. The record is from RNAcentral.